GAUGAACGCUGGCGGCGUGCCUAAUACAUGCAAGUCGAGCGAACAGACGAGGAGCUUGCUCCUCUGACGUUAGCGGCGGACGGGUGAGUAACACGUGGAUAACCUACCUAUAAGACUGGGAUAACUUCGGGAAACCGGAGCUAAUACCGGAUAAUAUAUUGAACCGCAUGGUUCAAUAGUGAAAGACGGUUUUGCUGUCACUUAUAGAUGGAUCCGCGCCGCAUUAGCUAGUUGGUAAGGUAACGGCUUACCAAGGCAACGAUGCGUAGCCGACCUGAUAGGGUGCUCGGCCACACUGGAACUUAGACACGGUCCAUACUCCUACGGGAGGCAGCAGUAGGGAAUCUUCCGCAAUGGGCGAAAGCCUGACGGAGCAACGCCGCGUGAGUGAUGAAGGUCUUCGGAUCGUAAAACUCUGUUAUUAGGGAAGAACAAAUGUGUAAGUAACUAUGCACGUCUUGACGGUACCUAAUCAGAAAGCCACGGCUAACUACGUG
RNAcentral lists this ribosomal RNA (497 nucleotides) under uncultured bacterium. Its description in RNAcentral is "partial 16S ribosomal RNA". It matches the Rfam family "Bacterial small subunit ribosomal RNA", at positions 28 to 507 of the family's 1533-position model. The record is from RNAcentral.